This is a long non-coding RNA of Adelges cooleyi (spruce gall adelgid), 392 nucleotides long. RefSeq lists it as uncharacterized. The record is from RefSeq and is a predicted model, not a curated record. The transcript has 2 exons. NCBI's taxonomy places the organism in Eukaryota, Metazoa, Arthropoda, Insecta, Hemiptera, Adelgidae.
GCAGUCUGUGGCCUUUGGAUACUUUAACACACAAGUGGUUGAAGAAGGAAGAUGGAUGUUUCGUAAAUAAAGUUAAUACUUUCAAUAAAAUAGGUAUUGUCAUAAUACGCGGCCAAGACACUUCUGAGGGUGCUGUGGUGAAACGGCUGGUAUUUACGCAAAAUGUCCAUCCGGUUCGGUGGAAGGAGUUCUUCGAAUCCCCGCCUCGGUGACCUUUUCUCAGUUGUGCAAGCGUUAAUCCGGGUUGUUGGUGAAUGGCCAAGUUGUCUUCUGCUAAGUGCCUAACAUUGUCGGAUAGAUACAAUUUAUGUGUUUGUUUGUGCGUUUUUACAAUCUUUCAGUUGUACAAAAUAUAUAAUUUGCAUAAAUAAAUUGGCUUUUACAAUUUAUAA